This 253-nucleotide ribosomal RNA is filed under the name uncultured bacterium. RNAcentral describes it as "partial 16S ribosomal RNA". It matches the Rfam family "Bacterial small subunit ribosomal RNA", at positions 524 to 776 of the family's 1533-position model. The record is from RNAcentral.
UACGGAGGGAGCAAGCGUUACUCGGAAUUAUUGGGCGUAAAGGGCGCGUAGGCGAUUCGAUAAGUCUCAUGUGAAAUCCCAGGGCCUAACCCUGGAAUGGCAUGGGAUACUGUUGGAUUUGAGUUCCGGAGAGGAAGGCAGAAUUCCCGGUAUAGCGGUGAAAUGCGUAGAUAUCGGGAGGAAUACCAGUGGCGAAGGCGGCCUUCUGGACGGAUACUGACGCUGAGGCGCGAAAGCCAGGGGAGCAAACGGG